UCGGACGUCUUCGGCGUU
This 18-nucleotide small nuclear RNA is filed under the name Arabidopsis thaliana (thale cress). RNAcentral describes it as "snRNA_04953". Lineage: Eukaryota; Viridiplantae; Streptophyta; Magnoliopsida; Brassicales; Brassicaceae. The record is from RNAcentral.